AUACGGAGGGGGCUAGCGUUGUUCGGAUUUACUGGGCGUAAAGCGCACGUAGGCGGAUCGAUCAGUCAGGGGUGAAAGGCCUGGGCUCAACCCAGGAACUGCCUUUGAUACUAUCGAUCUAGAAUCCGGGAGAGGUGAGCGGAAUUCCAAGUGUAGAGGUGAAAUUCGUAGAUAUUUGGAAGAACACCGGUGGCGAAGGCGGCUCACUGGACCGGUAUUGACGCUGAGGUGCGAAAGCGUGGGGAGCUGGUAUUACCGUGGCGACUGUCUCUGA
This 274-nucleotide ribosomal RNA is filed under the name uncultured bacterium. RNAcentral's name for it is "partial 16S ribosomal RNA". It matches the Rfam family "Bacterial small subunit ribosomal RNA", at positions 523 to 786 of the family's 1533-position model. The record is from RNAcentral.